This 236-nucleotide ribosomal RNA is filed under the name uncultured bacterium. Its description in RNAcentral is "partial 16S ribosomal RNA". It matches the Rfam family "Bacterial small subunit ribosomal RNA", at positions 102 to 334 of the family's 1533-position model. The record is from RNAcentral.
ACGGCUGAGUAACGCGUGGGUGACGUACCUGUUGGUGGGGGAAUAACUGCCCGAAAAGGGUGGCUAAUUCCGCAUAAGUCCGGUGGUUCGAUCUGCCGGGGAAAGCUUCGCAAGAAGCGCCGAUGGAGCGGCCCGCGUCCGAUUAGCUGGUUGGUGGGGUAACGGCCUACCAAGGCGACGAUCGGUAGCUGGUCUUAGAGGAUGAUCAGCCAGACUGGGACUGAGACACGGCCCAG